Dermochelys coriacea (leatherback sea turtle) is the source of this 292-nucleotide long non-coding RNA. RefSeq lists it as uncharacterized. The transcript is spliced from 4 exons. The record is from RefSeq and is a predicted model, not a curated record. NCBI's taxonomy places the organism in Eukaryota, Metazoa, Chordata, Testudines, Dermochelyidae.
ACUUAAUACAGGUAAAUCUCACCCUUAGAGAUGUUCCAAUAAGCAUCUUUCACAGACUAGACUCCUUCCUAUUCUGGGCCCAAUCCUUUCCCUGGUACAGACCUUUAGUUCCAGUUCAGGUGGUAAUUUGGGCAUUUCUCAUGAUUGGCAGCCCCCUUUGUUCUGUUCCAUCCCCUUUUAUAAACUUUGGCACAAGGCGGCAAUCUUAUUUCUCUGGGUCCCUACCCCUCCUUCUAAAUGGAAAAGCACCAGGUUUAAGAUGGAAUCCAGAGAUUGGAAGAGCACACAUCUG